CCGGUCACGAACGCUGGUACAUCUGACGAAGGAAAUCUUUGAUUACUGCCUCCCACGCAACAUCACUAUACGCGCAGAACACCUACCAGGGGAGUCGAACCUCACGGCGGACUUGUACUCCCGACACUGGAGGAACGCCAGCGACUGGCAGUUGAACCUGCGGAUAUUCGCUCACCUACACGAACAGAAAGGACCCUUUUU
Molecule: non-coding RNA, 201 nt
Organism: Pelobates cultripes (western spadefoot toad)
Lineage: Eukaryota; Metazoa; Chordata; Amphibia; Anura; Pelobatidae
Source: the annotation of a GenBank genome assembly